CAAGGUUUCCCUAGGUGAACCUGCGGAAGGAUCAUUACAGUAUUCUUUUUGCCAGCGCUUAAAUGCGCGGCGAAAAAACCUUACACACUGUGUUUUUUUGUUACUGAAAAAACUUUGUUUUGGCUUGUCUCUAGAAAAAGAGUUGGGCCAAAAGUUAACAUAAACUUCAAAUUAUUUGAAAUAUUUAUCUGAACUUAAAAGUCACUUUGUUUGAUUGAUUUCAAAAAAAAAUUUAAAACUUUCAACAAAGGAUCUCUUGGUUCUCGCAUCGAUGAAGAACGCAGCGAAAAGCGAUAAGUAAAAUGAAAUGCAGAUUUUCGUGAAACAUCGAAACUUUGAACGCACAUUGCGCCCUUUGGUAUUCCAGAGGGCAUGCCUGUUUGAGCGUCAUUUCUCUCUCAAACCUUAGGGUUUGGUAUUGAGUGAUACUCUUAGUCAAACUAAGCGUUUGCUUGAAAAGUAUUGGCAAGAGUGGUACUAAAAUAGUGCUUCAGAUUUUUCAAAGUAUUAGGUUUAUCCAACUCGUUGAAAAGUCUGAUGGCAAGUGUUUAGUAGCAUUGGCUCGGCCUUACAACCAACAAACAAGUUUGACCUCAAAACAGGUAGGAAAACCCCCUGAACUUAAGCAUAUCAA
Molecule: ribosomal RNA, 634 nt
Filed under: Priceomyces fermenticarens
Lineage: Eukaryota; Fungi; Ascomycota; Pichiomycetes; Serinales; Debaryomycetaceae
Description: eukaryotic LSU rRNA
Rfam family: 5.8S ribosomal RNA (bases 237-390)
Source: RNAcentral